This 972-nucleotide ribosomal RNA is filed under the name Triticum aestivum (bread wheat). RNAcentral's name for it is "partial small subunit ribosomal RNA". The record is from RNAcentral. Lineage: Eukaryota; Viridiplantae; Streptophyta; Magnoliopsida; Poales; Poaceae.
AUGGACAGUGGAGACGAGUUUUCUUACCAUCACUUCCUUUGUUCAUCGGACGAUUCGUCAUUGGAUGAUGACGAUCUUGUGGUGGUUGCACUGGUCGUUCACAAUCAUAUUCAACGGCAGCUUCCUCGGUACAGGGGGUCAGUCCCUGGCCGUGCUCCCAACCUGAACCGCAACAGGGAGAGAGGCCACACCCUGCUCUAUGCAGAUUACUUUGCCAACACCCCGCUCUUCAGGUCGGAUAAAUUUCGUCGCCGUUUUCGUAUGGCCAGGCAUGUGUUCAAUCGUAUCCGAGAGGGAGUGGUUGCUCAUGACCCAUACUUCGAGUGCAAGACGGAUGCCAUUGGCAAGCUUGGAUUCUCCUCCUACCAGAAAUGCACCGCGGCCAUCCGCAUGCUUGCAUAUGGAAUUCCAGGCGAUCUGGUGGAUGAGUAUGUGCGUAUGAGUGAGACAACAUGUCUAAUGUCAAUGUACAAGUUUUGCCAGGCUGUGAUCGAGGUCUUUGGCCCAGAGUACUUGAGGCAGCCAACUGCCGCUGAUACAGAGAGAUUGUUGGCGACCAACGCAGCUAGCGGCUUUCCAGUCUUCACGAGGCUUGCAGAAGGCCACUCCCCACCUGUCAACUUUGAGAUCAACGGCCACCAUUACAACAAGGGAUACUAUCUAGCAGAUGGUAUAUAUCCUCAGUGGUCAACUUUUGUGAAGACAAUCUCGAAACCCCAAGGUGAGAAGAGAAAGAGAUUUGCCCAAAUGCAAGAGAGUGUUAGAAAGGAUGUGGAACGUGCUUUUGGUGUGCUUCAAUCCCGGUGGGGUAUCGUUCGAAACCCUGCACUGUCAUGGGAUGAAAGGAAGCUUUGGGAGGUGAUGACUGCUUGUGUGAUCAUGCACAACAUGAUCAUCGAGGACAAGCGUGAUGAGAGUAUCUUCGACCAAGGAUUUGAUUAUCAAGGUGAAAAUAUUGAACCCCUGCACUAA